Periophthalmus magnuspinnatus is the source of this 334-nucleotide long non-coding RNA. RefSeq lists it as uncharacterized. The transcript has 3 exons. The record is from RefSeq and is a predicted model, not a curated record. NCBI's taxonomy places the organism in Eukaryota, Metazoa, Chordata, Actinopteri, Gobiiformes, Gobiidae.
CUAUGGUGAAUUUUUAGCCGAACAGUGGCGCAAAUCCACCGAACCAAGGCUCGGAGGCAGAAGUGGGCGUUGCGGUGCUGCUCCUCCAAACAUGGCGGCCGGGUGCAGGGGUGAAAGACGUUGUGGAACUGGUGCCAUGGAGCCUGGUAGUGAAUGGACAACUUACUCUCCUUCUCGAGAUGCUGCAGCCGUGUUGGAGGGGAUGGCACGAGACACGCCAUCGCCCCGUGUUAUUUUUAACCGUGUGUCUCCAUGGAAACGGGAGGCAGAGGGUGGAGGGGUGAUGGGGUCUCCUGCUGUGAGCCGCGAGGAGGGCGACGCUGGUCACUGUGAG